AAUGUCAGCUUUGGGUGCUGACGGUGGGGGAGUAGUCCUUCCUUCUUGA
This 49-nucleotide transfer RNA is filed under the name Microtus obscurus (Altai voie). RNAcentral's name for it is "partial tRNA-Pro". The record is from RNAcentral. Lineage: Eukaryota; Metazoa; Chordata; Mammalia; Rodentia; Cricetidae.